RNAcentral lists this ribosomal RNA (2572 nucleotides) under Triticum aestivum (bread wheat). RNAcentral describes it as "partial small subunit ribosomal RNA". The record is from RNAcentral. Lineage: Eukaryota; Viridiplantae; Streptophyta; Magnoliopsida; Poales; Poaceae.
GUGGCGGGGGUGAAAGUAAUAAGUUUGGGGGGAAGAAGAAAGAUGAGGAAGAGGAGUGAGUGGAUGGCAAGCGGAGGAGAGGAUCGGGGUGGUGGGCGGCGUAGCGGCAGAGGAGAGGAGCCUCGUGCCGCGGCGGGCGUACCGCAGGGGCUGGCGACGCCGGAGGGGCUGGCAACGCCGGAGGGGCUGGGCACGGGAGCGACUGUGGUGGCGCGGGAGCGGCCGGAGGGGCGGCGCGGCGGAGCGGAGCCGCGGCGGGCCGCACCUGCGCAGGCGCCAGAGGAGGGGCCAUAGGCGGGUGAGGCCCCUGGAGAGGCGGACGCUACAGAGCUCGGGCAACGAGCGAUCAUCCUCGCUCCUCAUGUCCGACUACAAGGCCGAGGGCGGCCUGCUCCAGGAACACGUUCUAAAAUUGACACGGGAGGUUCUUUUAUAAGAAGAAGUCCCCGUAUACAUAAAUAAAGAUGUGGUAUAUACGAAGAUAAGAUUAUAAAAGCCUAUGCUCUGCUUCUUUUGAUAUGGAAAUGUCCUACAGUGACUACAAGCAUUUCGUUUUUGUCGACGAUAAAAAGGAUUGCGGUAUCUUUAACAACGACCACGCUUCUCCGUAAAAAAACCUAGAAAGAACCACGCGCUACUUCGCAUAGCAUAAUAUCAUCUACCAACCCUCGUCGUACAAUCGCUACGAUCCAACGAGUAACUUGCAGUCCUACGUUUCAGUCGUUCAUCGUCACUACUUUUACCAAUGCAAAACAACCUUCUUCCUUUUCUUAGAUUUGUUCUACUUCCAAGCAGCGGUAACUUGUCCAGACGGUUAGGAUGUCGAUAGUAACCCCCAUCAUGACUAAAACCACUAGGUCUACGGUCAUGAAGAUUUUCUAAGAAUUUUCGCGGUCACCUACCUUGGCUCCUGUUGGGACCUAGAGAAUUGGGUAAAUUGAACGUCGGCAAACUACUACUACGAGGAUUACAUGGACUUAGUAUAUGAAACUAGUGCCUCAGAUUCAAAGUCCAUAGACACCUUCAAAAGAAAUUACAGAAUGAGAGACUACCGCGGGAACCGAAAGACCUACUAGAGGUGUUUUUCACACCACUGUUUCUUAAAGCAACAAGGUUAACCGCAAACCUACUCGUUCCUCCUGAACAUUCUCUACAGAGUAAGAACGUGGGUUAAUUUUAAAUAGAACCACGUUUUAAACCCUGUACAGUCCUCCAAGUCUUCGAAGCAGACAUGUCUUUGUCAGUACAACACUAAGUCUGUAGAGUUCUUUAACCACUACGUGGUAUGCCCCUGGUAAAGUAACAACUCCCUUAGACCCUACAACUUGUUCUGUCGGAUCUACUCUUGUCAACGGUGGAGUCCCAUAUAUGAUUACAUCGCAAGAGCUUCUCCUGGUAAAAAUCUCCCUUUUAUCUCGUUAGUUGCUUCCUACUUACAGCACUCCAAAAACCAGAGACCUAGUUCGAACGGGUACUAUAAAACUUCGUCCUACCGUAGAGAGCCUUUCCUCGGAGGUAGGGGUACUUGCGACUACAACUUAGUCCCGGAUCAGACUUGUAACUUCCAGGAAACCUUUUAUGUCAGCGUAUGUACCGAAGCCGUGGUAUACUAAGACCAAACUCAUCGGAACAAGGAGGGUAACUUGUAGCAGUUGUUUCGCAUCCGUGAAACCGUAGGUGAAGUGUUCUUAAGACCCCGAGUGAGCGGAGUAUAUACUCCAGGUCAGUUAAACCAGGCCAAAAUCCUCACUACGACCACCGGUAGCAAUAGAAUUACGUCCAUUGUUAGUAGCAAGACGAGUCAUCUGGGGGGUUCCAGGAGUACCAGUCAGGGCUUCGAAGACACUCGUCGAACCCAAGUAUAUCGUUCCUCUCGUAUCUCACCAACGUCUUCGCUCACUCGAAUGAGUCGCUCCUCUACGUGUACCGCCUCCGCGUGUACCUCUUCUACGCGGUGCUCAAACGUACCGAGUUCAGAGUGGAAGUUUCUGACCUCUCCAACUCCUCGUCGAGUACUGGCCGGUUCCACUUAUGCCUGCAACCAACGUACUACUUCUUACAGACAACACACAUCUCUGGCAUGUCAAUGUACUCAUGUCCCACUCUGUACAGACAACAACACACAAUCAACAAUCAGGACCAUAUCGUAACCACUCCAUGACUCCACAUAUAUAUAGGCCUGACGCGGGGCGACACGGGCCCACGUUCCACCACAUACAUAUUCCGGAACAUGUUACCCUCUACGAAUCUCUUUAUUUGGUCUGAAAGAAAUUCGUGACCACGAAUAAACAUAUCCCAUCUGCGAAUUGAUUCACAGAGAAGACAUCUUUAUCCGUGGACACGAAGUCUUUUAGAGCCAAAUAAAAAGAUUCGUGGGGAGAUUCGUAGAGGAUAACAUAUUCCGGAUUCUGCCGUGCCGUCCUACCCCUACCACCACACGUUGUUCCUUGCGACCACUGGUUUCUAUAAGUUAAAAGAUUGACGGAGAAGAGAAGAGAGGAUAGAGACGAUGAGGAUGUAUUUCCGCGGGGCGAACCUUACAGACUUUAAAAUGUUGACAUUUACUAAUGUG